Long non-coding RNA from Manis pentadactyla (Chinese pangolin), 2111 nucleotides. RefSeq lists it as uncharacterized. NCBI's taxonomy places the organism in Eukaryota, Metazoa, Chordata, Mammalia, Pholidota, Manidae. The record is from RefSeq and is a predicted model, not a curated record. The transcript is spliced from 3 exons.
UUUGUUCUUCAAAACCUGUUUAUCAAGCCUUACCCAGGUCCUCCUCCCCCGAGUCACGUACUCAGGAAAUGGCUUUUCGGCCCUUACAGUGUAAGAAGUUUGGCUGCGUCUUGAGGCUUUGAGAUGUUCACACAUGCAUGUCUGAGACCUUUCCAUCACUCCUGAGGGGAUGGAGCCAGAGCUGGUAUGAAAAGAGGGUCCCCAAAGCCCUGGAGCAAAUAACCGUCCAUACUGAAAGCAAAAUAGAAUCGGUUUGUUUUCUUGUUUUUUAUGAUUCAAAUGAACUGGAAGAGAAGGAAAGAACCAGAAAACAGAAAUGUCUCUUAUUUAAUCCCUGAUUACUUGAACCAUUGUUCAAAGUUCCCAAAGCCUGACUUUGGGAACACACCUGCAUCAUGGCUCAGCAGAACUGACCUAGACUGAUUCAAUGAGAUGGAAGGUUCAUCGCCUCAAUUUAAUGUGAAACUUCCAGGGAAGUUUCAGAGAAUGGAACUGCAAGGACCAAGGGCAGGCUGUCCCCAGUAUGUGCCACUUUGACGUGCAGAUUAUUUUGAGCAGAAAACCAUCAAGGCCCAAAAGACUCAGGAAGAUAACUUUGACUUUUCCCCACCUCCAACUGCAUAAAAAGAAGUUAGGUGGAGGAACUACUCCAGGAGGAGAGCUAUCACCAUGGAUAAAUAUAUUAUAAUGUAAACCAGUCCAGUGGUGAUAGACAGGAAGAAAGGUGCAAAAUCUGAUAAAAUUUCUCUUUGUGCUCCAUUUCUUCUGAGUGGACCACAGAGUAUUUUAUCAAACAUUUACUCUUUUAAUAUUUCUCUGAAUUACUUCCCUUUUCCUUUGAAGUAUCAGGCCCCUACUUCCAUUCCAUGGCCAGGAUCCUCACCUGAUCCUAAUCUACUCACCCACUGUGCAUGUGUAAUGAUGUAAUAUUUGGCCUACUGUGAAGGUGCAUGCUUGCAUGUUGGCAAUAAGACAUUAUUGCCUGUGUUGCUAUAUAAAGAGAUACACCCAGUGCUCAGUGCAGAGCCUGGAGUGGAGGCAAAGAUGGAGAGACAGACUUGCUGUAUGCUGACUUGCCCAAUGUUGAUUCUAGCACUCAACCCACCAUCACAAGAAUAAAGCUUGAUGUAAGACCUUUUACCCCAAAAUGUUCCAUUGUUGUUAUUUGGUCUCAUCGAAUCUGGAGUGAACUUGCCUGAAGCUGGGAACCCCUCUGGCUCAGAGCUACACCUACCAACUUCUUGGUUCAGGAUGACAUUUAAACCUCAUUCUCCCUGACUGUUGGGAAUCCAUGUCUACAGCUUCCCCAUAUAUAUGUAAUUAAAUUUCAAUUUUUUCCCUUGCUAAUCUGCUUCAUGUCAAUCUAAUUCUUAGAUAAGCUAGAAAAACCUCAAGGGGCAGAAGAAAUUUCUUCUUCCCCAACACCUCCCUGGCAAAAGGAUUAUUUUGCACUGAUUAUUUUAAGAAAGGGUGGACAGAGGAGAAGCUCUGAAGAAUAGAAGUUACCCUUCUGUAAGUUACUUUAUUUAUAAAGUAACUUUUAAGGAAGUUUUCCUCUUAGUACCAAGAAAAGAAGGUUGACACUAAAUCAAAACAGAAUUUCAUCAAUGGUGAAGGCCCUGACUUAAGUCUGUGUAACAAACCUGAUCCUUGUUCAUGGUGCUUUGCUUUUCUGGGUCAACUCCCUGUCACUGGCCUCCUCACACCUUCCUUUGUUUUUAGCUGAAGGUGGUAUUUAAGCCUACAUUUUAAACCAUUUCUUUGAGAAUUAUUCAUUUCCCUUUGUGUCUCCCAUGUACACGAGAUCUACAUAUUAAUAAACUUGAUUAUUUUUCUCUUGUUAUUCUGGCUUUUGUUACCUGGGGCUCCUAUGGAGGCCUUAGAAGGUAGAGGAAAAUUAUUUUCUGUAACCAUAUAUAGGUACCUUUCCAAAGUGUGGCAGGGAAGUCAACCUGUGUGGUUGUUGGGGAGCCCUACUGGGAGUCAAAAUGGUAUUCAUGCCUGCUUAAGGCUUGGGCCACUGGGGAAGCAGAGGGAAACAUCGACUUAGCUUACUUGCUUGUUUUUAGCAUGUUUCGUUGAGAAUCUCAGAGGAUUAGAAAAGACAGACU